Molecule: long non-coding RNA, 4718 nt
Organism: Loxodonta africana (African savanna elephant)
Lineage: Eukaryota; Metazoa; Chordata; Mammalia; Proboscidea; Elephantidae
Exons: 8
Source: RefSeq, a predicted model, not a curated record
UUUCAUAAUCUGCCACUCACCCCUGCCCUGAGCCCCAGGGAACCAUCGAGAGGCCAUGUGCCUUCCACAACAUACUCAACAAAACAGGAAUUUAAAGCUGGAAGAAAAAUGCAGAGUAUAUAGGCCCAUCCCUCCUCCCACAUACUGACUAGGAGUCUGAGGCCCGGGUGGUGGCAGACCUGGCAGAACAGUGGGUACUCUGCCUUCUUGGCUACAGCUUCCUGGACAGCAGAAGGUCCCUCAGAUAGGGGCUGGUUAGAAAAGGGCAGUGCUCACCCACCCAUCCCUCUUGGGCGAGGCAGGACAGGGAGUCUCCAGGCUUUCACCCCAACCCUGGGCUGUUUCCUGGAUCCUGACACCUCCAGACGUAGACGGCUAGGUCCUUCGUAAUCUGACUUUGUCUGGAAGCUCUGCUGAAACCUGUUCUCCAUGGGUGACCCUGCUGGUAUUUGAAUACUGGUGACAUAGCACCCACUGUCACAGCAACUGCGAGCCCUCACGGUGAAUAAAGGCCAAUUAUUGUACCUUGGAUAUUGACUUGCAAGCUUUUAAGACCCAGGCACAACUCAGUGAACUAGAAGAUAGAACAGAAGCGCCAAACAGAAUAUUAAGCCAAUUAACUGGGAUGCCCUAUGAAAGCAAGACCCUAAACCUCUGAACCAAAAAACCAAAUCUCUUGAGGUACUUACCAGCUAUACCCUGCCUCCUGCUCCUCCCUGGUGCUGGGCUCUGAGAUGGGUAAGUGCCUCCUGCUGCUGCUCCUGGGCCUCUCUUUGCUGCUGGGCUUCCUGCAAGGUGAGCUCCUGGAGAGGGAGAUGGAGCUGGACACGUUUAAGAGUACAGCUCUGAAAUGUUACAAAUGUCAUUUUAUCGGUUUUAAUGGGACUUGCUGGACUAAGAGAACCAUCUGCCAAGCUCAAAAGGACCAGCAGUGUGUUCUGAAGAAGUUCUAUGGAGGUAACAAGUUUAUAUUUGGAACCCAGACAUGUGGGACUACGUGCAACCCCACGACCAUAGUCUAUCGAGAUGAGUACACCUAUUUCUCAUGCUGUAAAGACAAUCUCUGUAACAAGUUUUAGAGGAUUGACCCUUGAUCGUGAGCCUCAGCCCUCCAGUUCAGCCCUUCUCUGUUCUCAGCCUCAAAGGACCGGGCUUUCUUUCUGCUGCAUUGUCCAAGCCCUGAAGCCAGCUCCUGCUCAGCUACAAGUGCUCAAGUUUCAACAGCUCCACGCAUCUGAUAGGUGCUUUCUUCUUUCCACCAUCCAUAGUGCUCUGCCCUAUCUUGGAUUUUAGUCUCCUUUCCUUCAUUUAUUCCUCCCACUCCUGCCUCCCAUCCUCCCUCUCCUCAAUCCUUUCUUUCUUCAACAAACAUUUCCUGACUGCUGAGCACUGUAACUAGGUGGUGAAUGUACAACAGUGAAUAAGACAGAAAUAAGACAGAAAAGAUCCCUCUUCUCAACACAUCUUUAGUACUCCUUUUCUGCCAGGCUGGCCAGGAUUACUAUGGUCCCAGCGCUCGCUACCCUUCUAUUUAUAGAAUUUAGGGCUUGAAAGAACUCCUUUGCCAUCCCUUCCAUCAUACACACACACACACACACACGCAUGCACGCAUGUGCUCUUCCUCUCUCUCACUGAUACAAAUUUCAUCAGUCUUUUCCCCUUUGCUCAUUUUUGCUUUUUUCCUAAGACAUCCCUUAGAUUUUGGGGUUGGUGUCACUGUAAUUUUUGUUUUAAUUACAUGAGCAAUAUGAAUGUUUAAUUUAAGAAAUGUUAAAAUAAAAAAGUAGACAUCAUUAGUAGUCUUAUCCUGUGCACUUGCAUAUACAUUUUUAGUGUAUUGAUUUCUUUUUUUAUUAUGAUAUUUUAUUGUGUUUUUGGUGAAAGUUCAAACAGCAAAUUAGGUUCCCAUUUAACAAUUUCCAUACUUGUUCUUCAGUGACAUUGGUUACGUUCUUUACAAUGUGUCAACAUUCUCAUUAUUUCCUUUCUGGUUGUUCCAUUUCCAUUAAUCUAGAUUCACUGCUCUGCCUUACUUUCUCAUCUUUGCUUUAGUGUAAAUUUGACUUUUGGUCUCAUAUAGAUGAUUUUUUAAAGGAGCACAGUACUCACGGGUGAUAUUAUUUAUUUUAUGAAUCAAUCUGUUAUUUAGCUGAAAGGUGACCUCUGGGUAUGGUUUCAGUACAAACUUCAAAGGGUAUUUCAGGGCAAUAGUCUUGGGGGCCCCUCUGGUCUCUACUGGUCAAGUAAGUCUGGUCUUUUUUAAGAAUUUGAGUUUUGUUCUACAUUUUUCUCCCAUUCUAUCUGGGACAUUCUGUUGUGUCCUUGGUCAGAAUAGUCAGUGGUAGUAGGAUAGAACUGAUGUGGUUCAUGCAGGCUAUUAGUUUAUAGACUAGUUUCUUUGAGUCUUUGUUUUCCUUCUUUAUCUUUUGCUCCAGAUGAGUAGAGAUCAAUAGUUGUAUCUUAGAUGGCCACUCACAAGCUUUUAAGAUCCCAGAUGCUACUCACCAAACUAGGAUGUAGAACAUAAACUGUGUUAUGCCAAUUGACUGAGUUGUUGCACGAGACUUCAGUCCUAAGCCUUCAAAUCCAGUAAACCAAUCUCACAAGGUGUUUGGUUAUGUCUAGGAAGUAUCUGCAACUGUGCCUCCUAUGUGUUUUAUUAUAUAUAUGAAUAUAUAUGCAGUACGCACAUACAUGUAUAUACUCAUGCCUACAGAUAUGCGUACACAUACACCCUUAUAUACACAUCUAUACAUUCAUAACAAAUCUGUCUUAGAAGAAGUACAAUUAAAAUGCUCCUUAGAAGCAAGGAUGGCGAAACUACAUCUUACAUACUUUGGACAUAUUAUCAGGAGGGUUCAGUCCCUAGAGAAGGACAUCAUGUUUGGUAGAGGGUCGGUGGAAAAGAGGAAGACUCUCAAUGAGAUGUAUUGACACAGUGGUUGCAACAAUUGGCUCAAGCAUAACAACAAUAGUGAGGAUGGUGCAGACCAGGCAGUGUUUUGUUCUGUUGUAUAAAGGGUUGCCGUGAGUCGGGACUGACUUGAUGGCACCUAAUAACAACAACAUACCUUCAUAUACACAUAUAUGUACACUUAUCUACCUAUGUAACCACAAACACAUUUUUUGGUUGUUAUUGCUGUUGUUGUAAACUUGUACAUGGUAUAGCAUUUACCAAAAACGUCCUUUAUUUUUGUGUACUUCUUAGUAUCAUCAUUCACCCAUAUUUGGUAUUGCCUUAAACAUCCUUUAUUUUUGUGUGCUUCUUAGUAUCAUCAUUCACCCAUAUUUGGUAUUGCCUUCACCAUCACUCAAAAUAACAAGCAUCUACUACCCAGAAAGUGAUUGCCCCUCCCUCGCCCUCCAAUCCCUGGUAACCACCAAUGAAUGCUGGUUUCUGUAUAUAUACCUAUUAACGGCUUCUUAUAAGAGCAUGAUCAAACAAUAUUUGUCCUUUUGGGGUUGACUUAUUUCACUAAGCAUAAUGUCCUCCAGGUUCAUCCAUGUUAUAUUUUGAGAACUCAUCAUUAUUCUUUAUAGCUGCAAAGAAUUCCACUGUAUGUAUGUACCGCAUUUUGUUUAUUCAUUCAUCCAUUGAUGGGCAUUUAGGUUGUUUCCAUCUUUUUGCUAUUGUCACUAAUGCUGCAGUGAACAUAGGUGUGCAUAUGUCUAUUUGUGUCAUUGCUAUUAGAUCUCUAGGGUAGCUACCUAGAAGUGAGAUUGCUGCAUCAUAAGGUAUUUGUAUUUCUAGCUUUUUGAGGAAGUGUCAUACCAUUUUUCAUAGUAGUUGUACUGUUUGACAAUCCAUUUGCAGUGGAUAAGGGUUCUAAUCUCCCCAAAACCUUAUCAGUAUUUGUUUAUGUCUUUUUUUUUUUUUUAAUCAUUGCCAUUUUUGCAGGUAGGCUUAUUGAUUUCUAACAAAAAAUGCCUGAUGAAAUUUUGAUUGGAAUUAAUGCUAUACAUUUCCUUGAAGCACUGUUGAUCUGCAUCCCAGAAAUUUUGAAACCACUCAAACACAACAAUGAGAAACAAGAGUGCAUACUUUACCUUGGAGGAAACAAAGCACCUGUAACACCACAAUAGAACGCAUGAAGGUGGAAAUCCAAUGAAGGAGUGAGAAAUGACUUACAGAGCAGGAGAUGUGGAAAUGAGCUGAGAAAUUGAUUCCCAGAGCUCUAGACGUGGUCUCCAAGCAGAGCGAGAGGCAGGAUAAAGUGCCAGACAGGAAAUGGGGAUGAAGAGAAUGUCUGAAUGUUGAGGUCCUUAUUUUCCAUCUUCCUACAUGCUCCCUGAAUGCUGGAGACAUUCCUUCCCCCACAUUUUUUUUUGGUUGGAGAAUCUUUCUAUGGAGAAAAUGACCACUGCAAAAUAAGAGAACUAUAAGCACUGAUACCUGUGACUCCUUCCAUGAAAGGUCAGCUCAAAAAACCUCUGACCUUGCACAUAGAGAUUCCUGUCAGCUUUUUAGUUGUUGUUGUUGUUAGUUGCCAUGGAGUUGAUUCAGACUCAUGAUGGCCCUAUGUAUGCAGAGAACUGCUCUAUUGGGUUUUCAACACUGUUGACUUUUUAGAAGCAGAUUACCAGGCCUGUCUUUAGAGGUGCUUAUGGGUAGGUUGGAAGUGUCACCUUUCAGCUAGUAGUAGAGCACUUAAUCCUUUGCACCACCCAGGGACUCCCAGCAUUUUACUACCUCAGUAGUAAAUAGUAGGAUCAUGAGA